GAAGAACGCAGCGAAAUGCGAUACGUAGUGUGAAUUGCAGAAUUCCGCGAAUCAUCGAGUCUUUGAACGCAAGUUGCGCCCGAGGCUUGUCCAAGGGCAUUUCCGCUAGAGCGUCACC
Molecule: ribosomal RNA, 118 nt
Filed under: Plagiomnium cuspidatum
Lineage: Eukaryota; Viridiplantae; Streptophyta; Bryopsida; Bryales; Mniaceae
Also listed under: 3 other names
Description: partial 5.8S ribosomal RNA
Rfam family: 5.8S ribosomal RNA
About the family: 5.8S ribosomal RNA (5.8S rRNA) is a component of the large subunit of the eukaryotic ribosome.
Source: RNAcentral